AAGAGCCGUAUGAGAGGAGACUUUCACGUACGGUUCUGUGAGAGGUUUGGGGUGCGAUUCCCCUUACCUACUCGAU
Molecule: non-coding RNA, 76 nt
Organism: Sphingobacteriales bacterium 44-61
Lineage: Bacteria; Pseudomonadati; Bacteroidota; Sphingobacteriia; Sphingobacteriales
Source: Rfam